RNAcentral lists this ribosomal RNA (448 nucleotides) under uncultured bacterium. RNAcentral's name for it is "bacterial SSU rRNA". It matches the Rfam family "Bacterial small subunit ribosomal RNA", at positions 330 to 794 of the family's 1533-position model. The record is from RNAcentral.
GCCAGACUCCUACGGGAGGCAGCAGUGGGGGAUAUUGCACAAUGGGGGGAACCCUGAUGCAGCGACGCCGCGUGGGUGAAGAAGCGCCUCGGCGCGUAAAGCCCUGUCAGCAGGGAAGAAAAUGACGGUACCUGACUAAGAAGCCCCGGCUAACUACGUGCCAGCAGCCGCGGUAAUACGUAGGGGGCAAGCGUUAUCCGGAUUUACUGGGUGUAAGGGGAGCGUAGGUGGCAUGGUAAGCCAGAAGUGAAAACCCAGGGCUCAACUCUGCGGAUUGCUUUUGGAACUAUCAAGCUAGAGUGCUGGAGGGGUAAGCGGAAUUCCUAGUGUAGCGGUGAAAUGCGUAGAUAUUAGGAGGAACACCGGUGGCGAAGGCGGCUUACUGGACAGAAACUGACACUGAGGCUCGAAAGCGUGGGGAGCAAACAGGAUUAGAUACCCCAGUAGC